This 78-nucleotide transfer RNA is filed under the name Candidatus Bathyarchaeota archaeon. RNAcentral describes it as "tRNA-Gly". It matches the Rfam family "tRNA". From Rfam's summary of the family: Transfer RNA (tRNA) molecules are approximately 80 nucleotides in length. The record is from RNAcentral. Lineage: Archaea; Thermoproteati; Candidatus Bathyarchaeota. RNAcentral also lists the same sequence under 2 other names.
GCGGCCGUAGUCUAGCCUGGCCUAGGACGUCGGCCUCCCAAGUCGGUGACCCGGGUUCGAAUCCCGGCGGCCGCACCA